GCCCUUUUCAUCCGCGCCCCGAAGGCCUAUAUGAACCGUGUCGUCGCAAGGCGACUAUGGCAAUAAACGAACGAUGGAAUAAGCCUAUUGGACCCGGGGGCGGUACCCGGCGCCUCCACCAAAAACCGGUCCGGCCGCAAAAAGCGGCGCUGAACAGACCGACCGGCUUUUGAUGGGGGCGAAAUAGGAUCGACAAGGGUGUAAAGAUCGCUUUUUUGCUCGGCAUGAUACCGCCGUUAUCGGGUCAAAUUAGUAGUUGCCAACGACAACUAUGCGGAAGCUCGUCUCGCUGCUUAAUCGCGGUGUGACACUUCAAAUCAAGUCCUAAGGGGUCGCACUCUUAGGCGGGGUCCGAAGGCACCUGGCAACAGAAGCCUUCACC
RNAcentral lists this transfer-messenger RNA (382 nucleotides) under Xaviernesmea rhizosphaerae. Its description in RNAcentral is "Rhizobium rhizosphaerae transfer-messenger RNA". It matches the Rfam family "Alphaproteobacteria transfer-messenger RNA". From Rfam's summary of the family: Bacterial tmRNA, also known as 10Sa RNA or SsrA, is named for its dual tRNA and mRNA-like properties. Its role is to liberate the mRNA from a stalled ribosome. The record is from RNAcentral. Lineage: Bacteria; Pseudomonadati; Pseudomonadota; Alphaproteobacteria; Hyphomicrobiales; Rhizobiaceae.